RNAcentral lists this ribosomal RNA (449 nucleotides) under Blastocystis sp. RNAcentral describes it as "SSU rRNA". It matches the Rfam family "Eukaryotic small subunit ribosomal RNA", at positions 475 to 938 of the family's 1831-position model. The record is from RNAcentral. Lineage: Eukaryota; Bigyra; Opalinata; Blastocystidae.
AAAUCACAAUGCGGGACUGUUAGUCUUGCAAUUGGAUUGAGAACAACGUACAACUCUUAUCGAUAAGCCAUUGGAGGGCAAGUCUGGUGCCAGCAGCCGCGGUAAUUCCAGCUCCAAUAGCGUAUAUUAACGUUGUUGCAGUUAAAAAGCUCGUAGUUGAAGUGAGGGAGUGUGUGUUCAUGAGAGCUAGUCUCGAGUGUUCACAACCUCCCCCCUCCAAUCGGUGUAGUGGGGUAUUCAGUUAUUUCACUACUCCUUUGGUCGUUUACUGUGAGAAAAUUAGAGUGUUCAAAGCGGGCGUUUGUUUGAAUAGAUUAGCAUGGAAUAAUGAUUGAAGGCUUUCGUGUUCGAUUUGAUUGGUUUGUUCAUGGAAGCAAGGUUAAAAGGAACAGUUGGGGGUAUUCAUAUUCACUAGUUAGAGGUGAAAUUCUCGGAUUUAUGGAAGAUGA